CUCAAGCUGCAACUAUAUAUGCUUCUAUAUAUAAUCAUAUACAUCGUAGAUCACAUGAAAGGAGAAACAAAACCACAUAUAUACUUGAUACAACUAGAAAAAUCAAACAGCUAAUUACCCCUUCCCCCUCUUGCCAAGAAAACAAUCAAAUUUUGAAGGUUUGUAGUGGAAAAGCAACAAACUAAUGAACAAAGCCUAUUUGUUCAUGGAUCUAGUACUGUACUUUGAAUCUUGAUGAUAUUAGUUGAGCAAUUAACUAGAAGUUUUUCAAAGGUUUCUUUUCACAAAUCUUCCUUUCAUUCUUGGCCUUUUCUCAGCAUUAAGCUUCCUCACUUCGUAUCUUAUCUUCUUUGAAAACAAUCGUGUUCUUCUUUUCUCUCUAUACCUUGACACUCUUGCUUCUCGUCCUCCAUCGCUUCCUCCUACGCCUCCGUAUGAAGGAAUGUUAUUUCCCGCCCAUUGAAAUGAGAACCAUGAAAUCAGGCCAGGAACCAUCAAGAUUGAUUUCUGGUCGGGCUCCGUUUGUCCAAGGAGAGCCUUGAUCAGCCCAAGCAUUGAUCACAUCUUCAUAAUUAAGCCUCAAAGUAAUGCUCGAUGUUUUCAUUUUCCUGUUGUCGCAUUGAUCGUUUGACACCAUCGUCAUAUGCUCCAACUCGACUCCCGCCACCACUUUCUUCUCCUCCUCUUUAAUCAUCAUGGAGGUAUGAUCAUAAUCAAAGUCCCAAUGAUCUAGUGUUUCCCUAGUUGCAUCCAAAUCAAAACCUAACAUUGCUUCUACUUCUUUAUCUUCAACUUUCACUCUAUUUUCAUCAAAGCAAACUCCUAUAUAGUUAGAAUUAUCUUCAUCAUCUUUAAAGCUAUUGGUCAACCCCAGAUCUUCAAUCCUGCAAGAUGUAUCAUUAAAACCCUUCCCUAACAAGCUUUCAACAUCGGCAGCAAAAUCCAAGAACUCCAAAUCAUCAUUUGGGAGAUCAAACCCUUGAAGAUCAUCCAAAUUACAUGCUUCAUCUUCUUUCUUGUCUUCCCCUAUAAAAGGCAAGCUCCUAUCUUUAUCACUAGAAGCAUUACAUAACUCAGUUUCGAAAGGAUCAUAGACCGGAACACGAUAAAGAAGUUCUUCUUGUUCUUCUUCUUCCUCAUCAUCAAGCAACGAUGCUUCUAAAACGCCAAUCUCAGGAACUAAAGCAGCCGUGGAGUUCGCUCCCUCGUUCUUUCCUUCUAACUUGGGAGAAUAUUUAGUCCGUUGUCUUGGGGUACGUGCACGACGGGUGAACCCUUGGUGCCAAGUUGGUUCAGGCGAUGGCUCGCCUGAACCAAAGGACUUGGACACGGUCUCUAGAAGGACCCUCUCAUGCCGACCAGCCAAUUGGUUAGCUGAGUGAACCGAUGCGUCACAGCUUUGACAAAGGAAAGCGUCAUCAGCAGCGCAAUACCAUCGAGCCCGCUUUCGUACGCAGCUGUCACAAGCCCUUGCCGUUUUGCCACCAACGGCAUUCGCGGUUUUCUUUCCGGCAAGCAUGAGGGUUUGGUUAUGUUUCAAAUGACUAAAAGAAAGAGAUCAAAAUGGAAUGAAAAGAAGCAUAUGAAAAUUCAAACAAAAAAAAAAAACUAAAAAAGACCAGCUCGUACUAGUUAAUUAAAAUGACAAAGU
This 1651-nucleotide long non-coding RNA is filed under the name Helianthus annuus (common sunflower). RNAcentral's name for it is "hypothetical non coding rna". Lineage: Eukaryota; Viridiplantae; Streptophyta; Magnoliopsida; Asterales; Asteraceae. The record is from RNAcentral.